GACGAACGCUGGCGGCAUGCCUAAUACAUGCAAGUUGAACGAUGAUAUUCUCUGCUUGCAGAGAAUUGAAGAGUAGCGAACGGGUGAGUAACACGUGGGGAACCUGCCCAUGAGAGGGGGUUAACAUUCGGAAACGGAUGCUAAUACCGCAUAAUGCUUUGGACCGCCUGGUCCAGAGACGAAAGACGGCUUUUGCUGUCACUCAUGGAUGGCCCCGCGCCGUAUUAGCUAGUUGGUGAGGUAAUGGCUCACCAAAGCUGUGAUACGUAGCCGACCUGAGAGGGUGAUCGGCCACACUGGGACUGAGACACGGCCCAGACUCCUACGGGAGGCAGCAGUAGGGAAUCUUCCACAAUGGGCGAAAGCCUGAUGGAGCAAUGCCGCGUGAAUGAAGAAGGUCUUCGGAUCGUAAAGUUCUGUUAUUAGAGAAGAACAAGUCAAGGAGUAACUGUCUUGACUUUGACGGUACCUAACCAGAAAGUCACGGCUAACUACGUG
Molecule: ribosomal RNA, 498 nt
Filed under: uncultured bacterium
Lineage: Bacteria
Description: partial 16S ribosomal RNA
Rfam family: Bacterial small subunit ribosomal RNA
Source: RNAcentral